Molecule: transfer RNA, 41 nt
Filed under: Flectonotus sp. CFBH 5720
Lineage: Eukaryota; Metazoa; Chordata; Amphibia; Anura; Hemiphractidae
Description: tRNA-Val
Source: RNAcentral
CUUACACCGGGGAAGUACCUGUGAAACCCAGGUUGCCUCGA